CCCUUAGAUGUCCGGGGCUGCACGCGCGCUACACUGAAUGAAUCAGCGUGCUAGAAAACCUUGUUUGACAUGGCUAGGUAACCCAUUGAAAAUCAUUCGUGAUUGGGAUCGGGAUUUGCAAAUGUGUCCCUUGAACGAGGAAUUCCCAGUAAGUGCGGGUCAUCAGCUCGCGUUGAUUACGUCCCUGCCCUUUGUACACACCGCCCGUCGCUACUACCGAUUGGAUGGUUUAGUGAGAUCCUCGGAUUGGUCACGGCACGGUGGCAACACUGCGUCGGUGUGCCGAGAAGACGAUCAAACUUGAUCAUCUAGAGGAAGUAAAAGUCGUAACA
RNAcentral lists this ribosomal RNA (332 nucleotides) under uncultured eukaryote. RNAcentral's name for it is "partial 18S ribosomal RNA". It matches the Rfam family "Eukaryotic small subunit ribosomal RNA", at positions 1470 to 1796 of the family's 1831-position model. The record is from RNAcentral.